Salvia hispanica is the source of this 699-nucleotide non-coding RNA. The record is from RefSeq and is a predicted model, not a curated record. Lineage: Eukaryota; Viridiplantae; Streptophyta; Magnoliopsida; Lamiales; Lamiaceae.
GAUUUGCAAAGUGAUAUCUUUGUGCUUAAGCAUGGUUGUGUAGUGAUUUUCUACAUGGAUGAAAAGGGAGUCAUAAGGAGAGUUGUGUGUUACCUCUUGUGAUAGUGAAGGAAUGGGGCUGUCCUUGUUGCUGCUCACUAUUUCGUUCCACUCUCUAACUCUCUAUACUGCUGGAAAUUUUGAAGUAUGUGGAAGGGAGUUCAUAAGUGGUGUGGAGGGGUUUUUAUAGGCAAGAGUGUGUACUCGUGAAGCCUUAAUUGAAGUUGUUGUAUUUUCUUGUUAUUUUCCUGCAGCAAAUCUCCCUUUUCUUUGAUCUUUUGCAGCCACUUUAUCUUAAUGUAGUUUGGUGCCUAGUUUGGGUACUUGGUACUUGGCUAAUGAAUUCCAUUGUUUGAUUGUGGCUGGUAGAAACAGGUGCUGCAUAGUGUGGAGGAUUUUGCAGGAUUGACUUUCCCCUCUUGGUGAGUCUUUGGUCCUCCAUAGCAAAAGGAAAGGUGAGAGAGAAAUCUUGGCUACUACCUAGCUGUCUCGGAGAGUGGGCUCGCUGCCCUGGGCCCGGUGGCCGAUCAGAUACGGGCCGCGACUUUCGGCCCGGAAGAAGAGGCCCGAUGCCAUUUGUUCCAUGCACGUUUUAUCUUUUUAGUUGUUCAUUGUAUUGCCUAGUAAUGCUAUUCGAAAAUCCGUGAUAUUCUACACGUA